UGGGGAAUAUUGGACAAUGGGCGAAAGCCUGAUCCAGCCAUGCCGCGUGAGUGAUGAAGGCCCUAGGGUUGUAAAGCUCUUUCACCGGUGAAGAUAAUGACGGUAACCGGAGAAGAAGCCCCGGCUAACUUCGUGCCAGCAGCCGCGGUAAUACGAAGGGGGCUAGCGUUGUUCGGAAUUACUGGGCGUAAAGCGCACGUAGGCGGACUAUUAAGUCAGGGGUGAAAUCCCGGGGCUCAACCCCGGAACUGCCUUUGAUACUGGUAGUCUCGAGUCCGGAAGAGGUUAGUGGAACUCCAAGUGUAGAGGUGAAAUUCGUAGAUAUUCGGAAGAACACCAGUGGCGAAGGCGGCUCACUGGUCCGGUACUGACGCUGAGGUGCGAAAGCGUGGGGAGCAAACA
RNAcentral lists this ribosomal RNA (402 nucleotides) under uncultured bacterium. Its description in RNAcentral is "bacterial SSU rRNA". It matches the Rfam family "Bacterial small subunit ribosomal RNA", at positions 355 to 774 of the family's 1533-position model. The record is from RNAcentral.